Molecule: ribosomal RNA, 465 nt
Filed under: Vreelandella stevensii
Lineage: Bacteria; Pseudomonadati; Pseudomonadota; Gammaproteobacteria; Oceanospirillales; Halomonadaceae
Description: partial 16S ribosomal RNA
Rfam family: Bacterial small subunit ribosomal RNA
Source: RNAcentral
CCUACGGGCGGCUGCAGUGGGGAAUAUUGGACAAUGGGGGGAACCCUGAUCCAGCCAUGCCGCGUGUGUGAAGAAGGCCCUCGGGGUGUAAAGCACUUUCAGUGAGGAAGAACGCCUGGUGGUUAAUACCCAUCAGGAAAGACAUCACUCACAGAAGAAGCACCGGCUAACUCCGUGCCAGCAGCCGCGGUAAUACGGAGGGUGCGAGCGUUAAUCGGAAUUACUGGGCGUAAAGCGCGCGUAGGUGGCUGGAUAAGCCGGUUGUGAAAGCCCCGGGCUCAACCUGGGAACGGCAUCCGGAACUGUCAAGCUAGAGUGCAGGAGAGGAAGGUAGAAUUCCCGGUGUAGCGGUGAAAUGCGUAGCGAUCGGGAGGAAUACCAGUGGCGAAGGCGGCCUUCUGGACUGACACUGACACUGAGGUGCGAAAGCGUGGGUAGCAAACAGGAUUAGAUACCCGGGUAGUC